RNAcentral lists this ribosomal RNA (846 nucleotides) under Cordyceps ninchukispora. RNAcentral's name for it is "LSU rRNA". It matches the Rfam family "Eukaryotic large subunit ribosomal RNA", at positions 81 to 958 of the family's 3401-position model. The record is from RNAcentral. Lineage: Eukaryota; Fungi; Ascomycota; Sordariomycetes; Hypocreales; Cordycipitaceae.
CAGUAACGGCGAGUGAAGCGGCAACAGCUCAAAUUUGAAAUCUGGCCCCCAGGGCCCGAGUUGUACUUUGCAGAGGAUGCUUUGGGCGAGGUGCCUUCCGAGUUCCCUGGAACGGGACGCCAUAGAGGGUGAGAGCCCCGUCUGGUCGGACACCGAGCCUGUGUAAAGCUCCUUCGACGAGUCGAGUAGUUUGGGAAUGCUGCUCAAAAUGGGAGGUAUAUGUCUUCUAAAGCUAAAUAUUGGCCAGAGACCGAUAGCGCACAAGUAGAGUGAUCGAAAGAUGAAAAGCACUUUGAAAAGAGGGUUAAAAAGUACGUGAAAUUGUUGAAAGGGAAGCGCCUAUGACCAGACUUGGGCCCGGUGAAUCAUCCAGCGUUCUCGCUGGUGCACUUUGCCGGGCACAGGCCAGCAUCAGUUUGGCGCGGGGGACAAAGGCUUCGGGAAUGUAGCUCCCUCGGGAGUGUUAUAGCCCGCUGCGCAAUGCCCUGCGCCGGACUGAGGUACGCGCAUCGCAAGGAUGCUGGCGUAAUGGUCAUCAGCGACCCGUCUUGAAACACGGACCAAGGAGUCGUCUUCGUAUGCGAGUGUUCGGGUGUCAAACCCCUACGCGUAAUGAAAGUGAACGCAGGUGAGAGCUUCGGCGCAUCAUCGACCGAUCCUGAUGUUCUCGGAUGGAUUUGAGUAAGAGCAUACGGGGCCGGACCCGAAAGAAGGUGAACUAUGCCUGUAUAGGGUGAAGCCAGAGGAAACUCUGGUGGAGGCUCGCAGCGGUUCUGACGUGCGAAUCGAUCGUCAAAUAUGGGCAUGGGGGCGAAAGACUAAUCGAACCUUCUAGUAGCUGGUUUC